CCCAACAGAGACCACUGAAACAUCAAAAGAAGCAACAGAGAUUAAAGAAAGAAGAAUAAGCAAACUUACCCCUUUGCUAUGCGCUCUCGCCACCAGCGCCGCCGGGGAGAAUCUGUCACUAAAAGUUGAAUGCGCCGUGGAACUCGAACACCACUUUGUUCCGCAUCUUUGGCGGGUUAUCAUCGUAACUACCGCCAUUGUCGUGGUGGUGGUAUUGAGGAGAGACAUCAGGGAAGGCCCAUUGCCGGUCGUAGGUGGAGGCAACCAUCCCUUCGUCCCUCGCCUCUUCGUCUUCCACUUCUCGUCAGCUGGGAACAAAACUUGAGUCCGGUGACCGCCAGU
This 342-nucleotide long non-coding RNA is filed under the name Musa acuminata (dwarf banana). RNAcentral's name for it is "long non-coding RNA (MACU_LNC001087)". The record is from RNAcentral. Lineage: Eukaryota; Viridiplantae; Streptophyta; Magnoliopsida; Zingiberales; Musaceae.